CGUCACAUCCUGGGGCUGGAGAAGGUCCCAAGGGUUCGGCUGUUCGCCGAUUAAAGUGGCACGCGAGCUGGGUUCAGAACGUCGUGAGACAGUUCGGUCCCUAUCUGUUGUGGGCGCAGGAGAUUUGAGAGAACCUGAUACUAGUACGAGAGGACCGUGUUGGACAGACCUCUAGUGUACCUGUUGUGGCGCCAGCUGCAUCGCAGGGUAGCUAUGUCUGGAAGAGAUAAGCACUGAAAGCAUCUAAGUGCGAAGCUCGUCUCAAGAUGAGAUCUCCCUUAAGGGUC
This 287-nucleotide ribosomal RNA is filed under the name Bacteroidales bacterium. Its description in RNAcentral is "partial 23S ribosomal RNA". It matches the Rfam family "Bacterial large subunit ribosomal RNA", at positions 2538 to 2824 of the family's 2925-position model. Lineage: Bacteria; Pseudomonadati; Bacteroidota; Bacteroidia; Bacteroidales. The record is from RNAcentral.